UGGGCUUGACAUGUGGAUGACCGGCCUGGAAACAGGUCUUCCCUUCGGGGCAUCUUCACAGGUGGUGCAUGGCUGUCGUCAGCUCGUGUCGUGAGAUGUUGGGUUAAGUCCCGCAACGAGCGCAACCCCCGUCGUAUGUUGCCAGCAUUAGUUGGGGACUCAUGCGAGACUGCCGGUGACAAACCGGAGGAAGGUGGGGAUGACGUGUCCUUGAUAGG
Molecule: unclassified non-coding RNA, 218 nt
Filed under: uncultured Solirubrobacteraceae bacterium
Lineage: Bacteria; Bacillati; Actinomycetota; Thermoleophilia; Solirubrobacterales; Solirubrobacteraceae
Description: contains 16S-23S intergenic spacer region
Rfam family: Bacterial small subunit ribosomal RNA
Source: RNAcentral